ACGGAUGUGUGACGACUUUCGGUCUUGUUGUCGCUGAUGCGUUCAGGAAAAUACAGCCGCGUGUACGGCCAAAUGGCGCCAAAUGCAUCUCGGAAUAGCCUCUCGGAGUCUUUUAAGUUGUUCAGUGGGAGAGUACGACUAAAUCAAGGGGAGGGAGGCACGUGUCAAGGUGUAGUGAGGCAUGCAGCAGGAAGUUGGCCCCCCGGAGGUGAAGACUGAUAAGACGUCAAUAGAGUAGAAGGCGUUCAAGUCGGUCAGCGGUUUGUCAUUUCCUUUCGGGACUGGAGCUGGAGGUCUCCAUCUCCAUCCCUCUGCGCAUAUCCUUUGCGCAUGCGCGCGCAUUCAAUAAGGAGGAGAAGCAGAACAGAACGGAGCCCUGAAGGAGAGCCGCAGAACAGAACAGAGCAGACCAGACCACAGCGGAGGGAGGCUAACAAUCGAGCUGAAUGCAUCUUUAUCGACUUGGCCACAAAAAUUUCUUUUUUGCAGCUGCCGUCUUGGUAUUUUAAGUGUCGCUUUGUGUGCGUGUGUGCGUGUGUGUGCGUGUGUAUGGGGCAGUGGUAGUGGUGUUUUCCACGUUGCGGUUCUCUCCAUUCUCUUUCUCUAUACCGUUCUUAGGAGAGAGAUUUCUGCUGUCCUACUACAAAUGUUUUGGCUUGAAAUAAAGACUAAAGCCGCUUAA
Drosophila pseudoobscura is the source of this 682-nucleotide long non-coding RNA. RefSeq lists it as uncharacterized. The record is from RefSeq and is a predicted model, not a curated record. NCBI's taxonomy places the organism in Eukaryota, Metazoa, Arthropoda, Insecta, Diptera, Drosophilidae. The transcript has 2 exons.